RNAcentral lists this ribosomal RNA (272 nucleotides) under uncultured Oscillibacter sp. RNAcentral describes it as "partial 16S ribosomal RNA". It matches the Rfam family "Bacterial small subunit ribosomal RNA", at positions 71 to 339 of the family's 1533-position model. The record is from RNAcentral. Lineage: Bacteria; Bacillati; Bacillota; Clostridia; Eubacteriales; Oscillospiraceae.
AGGAUUCGUCCAAGUGAAGCAGAGGACAGUGGCGGACGGGUGAGUAACGCGUGAGGAACCUGCCUUUCAGAGGGGGACAACAGUUGGAAACGACUGCUAAUACCGCAUAACGCGUAGAGGUCGCAUGGCCUUUACGCCAAAGAUUUAUCGCUGAAAGAUGGGCUCGCGUCUGAUUAGAUAGUUGGUGAGGUAACGGCCCACCAAGUCGACGAUCAGUAGCCGGACUGAGAGGUUGAACGGCCACAUUGGGACUGAGAUACGGCCCAGACUCC